GACGAACGCUGGCGGCGUGCUUAACACAUGCAAGUCGAACGGAAAGGCCCUGCUUUUGUGGGGUGCUCGAGUGGCGAACGGGUGAGUAACACGUGAGUAACCUGCCCUUGACUUUGGGAUAACUUCAGGAAACUGGGGCUAAUACCGGAUAGGAGCUCCUGCUGCAUGGUGGGGGUUGGAAAGUUUCGGCGGUUGGGGAUGGACUCGCGGCUUAUCAGCUUGUUGGUUGGGUAGUGGCUUACCAAGGCUUUGACGGGUAGCCGGGCUGAGAGGGGGACCGGCCAAAUUGGGACUGAGAUGCGGCCCAGACUACUACGGGAGGCAGCAGUGGGGAAGAUUGCACAAGGGGCGGAAGCCUGAUGCAGCAACGCCGCGUGCGGGAUGACGGCCUUCGGGUUGGAAACCGCUUUCGCCUGUGACGAAGCGUGAGUGACGGUAAUGGGUAAAGAAGCACCGGCUAACUACGUG
Molecule: ribosomal RNA, 468 nt
Filed under: uncultured bacterium
Lineage: Bacteria
Description: partial 16S ribosomal RNA
Rfam family: Bacterial small subunit ribosomal RNA
Source: RNAcentral